GUGGGGGAUAUUGCGCAAUGGGGGGAACCCUGACGCAGCAACGCCGCGUGAAGGAAGACGGUUUUCGGAUUGUAAACUUCUUUAAGUGGGGAAGAUAGUGACGGUACCCACAGAAUAAGCCACGGCUAACUACGUGCCAGCAGCCGCGGUAAUACGUAGGUGGCGAGCGUUGUCCGGAUUUACUGGGUGUAAAGGGCGUGUAGGCGGGAUGGCAAGUCAGAUGUGAAAUACCGAGGCUUAACUUCGGGGCUGCAUUUGAAACUGUCGUUCUUGAGUGCCGGAGAGGAAAGCGGAAUUCCUAGUGUAGCGGUGAAAUGCGUAGAUAUUAGGAGGAACACCAGUGGCGAAGGCGGCUUUCUGGACGGUAACUGACGCUGAGGCGCGAAAGCGUGGGGAGCAAACAGGAUUAGAAACCCUAGUAGUCC
RNAcentral lists this ribosomal RNA (425 nucleotides) under uncultured bacterium. RNAcentral describes it as "bacterial SSU rRNA". It matches the Rfam family "Bacterial small subunit ribosomal RNA", at positions 354 to 796 of the family's 1533-position model. The record is from RNAcentral.